This is a long non-coding RNA of Monodelphis domestica (gray short-tailed opossum), 2200 nucleotides long. The record is from Ensembl. NCBI's taxonomy places the organism in Eukaryota, Metazoa, Chordata, Mammalia, Didelphimorphia, Didelphidae.
CACACAGAGAUCUCUGGGUUCCUUUCACAAACAAAGUCUCCCUCUCCAGCCGCCGUCGAGGCUCUCCUGUUUCUAUGGAAAUGCCCGUUGUUGGGUUUUGUUUGCGGUGUUCGAGCUCAGAACCCAAACGGAUGGAGGCGCUCUGGGGGCGCUGGAACUGCUUCUGCGGCAGCCAGCAGCCGCCCCCAGCAGCUGGACUGUCCGCCUUCUGUCUCUCCCAGAACUGCUGAGGAAGGUGAGCCCAGUUGGGCGAGGCUGCUGAGGACGGCUGGACGGACAGACGGAACACGUCGGCGUCCAGGAGGAGACGGCCUUCCAAUUCAUCCCUGGCAAGGGCUCACUGUCCACAAUGAUGCUCUUGGCACGUCACCUCCACAGUUAUGUAGGGAAUGGGCUGGAAAGGGACUGAUGGAGGGAAGGUGAUGGAGGCUUGAACCAGGGAGGCACCACAUCAGUGGACCCAGACCAGACCUUCAGUUGGCCCAGUUCACGGAGCCCCUGCAGGGAGAUGCCCUAUUUGAACAGACUGGACGUCCAUCCAGCUCUGUGUCCCAGUCUGGAAAGUCUUCAGCAAUUUGUUCAAUCCUGGGCGGAUCUUUGGGUUGAGAGACGGUCCUUUGGCGUCUCUGCAGCGCUCUAGGGCCCAGGAGUAAUGGCAGAGGGAAAGUGACCCUCCCCAGCCUGGAAGCCACCAAGCGUGACAUCUCAGGGACACCAGCAGGACUACGGCCCAGAAGCAAAAGAAACCCUCAAAUCACCCCCCCCCCAACAGUCUUGGACCGCCUCAUGCAUGGGCUCAGUUCCAAGCACCACAUUUUCACAAGUUUACAGCCAGAGAAGCAGCACCCGAGGGAGAGAGCCUCAGGCUGCCCCCUCUGGAGCAGAAUCUGGACGUGUACCCUAUCCCCUGUGUAAAAGGCAAAUGUAUAUCUCAAAUAAUGAAAUGACUAUAUUUUAUGAGAUUUACUGAGGAUCAUUAGAAAUCAAGGAAUAAGGAGAAUACAAAAUCAACCCACGUGCCCAGGGCUGCUGAGCCACUUUCAAAAUCCCCACUCACCACCAUCACUGCUGAUUGCUGUAUCACGCCCCCAAAAGAGGACGUGGGAGGGUUUACCGCCAGCUAAAUACCAAUCACGUGAUCCUGACGACAUGGAGACGCAGGAGAGAUUAUAGGGAAUUUUGGGACAUGCUGAGGACUUCUGGGGAAUGAAGUCAAAGGUUCAAAAUCUCCAUUUAUACACCUGUGGCCAGAUUCUUUAAGGAAUGGGUCCCUUCUCAUGCAGAGACUCUAAUUCUGUGGGUUCAAAUAUGGUAAAAACCAUAAAGCUGGUUAUGUCUCAAAUUGUAUGAAGCUAUCAGCAAUGGAGGCACCUAUGUGACUCAGUGGAUGGAGAGCCAGGCCUAGAGAUGGGAGGUCCUGGGUUCAAAUCUGGCCUCAGAUACUUCCUAGCUGUGUGACCCUGGGCAAGUCACUUAUCCCCCAUUGCCUAGCCCUUACUGUUCUAUUGCCUUAGAACCAAUAUAUAGUACUGAUUCUAAGAUGGGAGGUAAGAGUUAUUUUAAAAAAAAAUCAUGAUCAAGAAUGGGAAAGGUGGCAUCCAUAUUGACACAGAAAUAUUCCUGAUCACUUAAUUUGUGGGAGGGAGAAACUGGGAAGACCCACAUGCCCGCCACAUGGGGAGGCACAGGAUGAAUUAAAAUAGGAAGGCAGAGGGGUGCCCUGCCUGUGGGUGAAAAUACUGAAGAUCAAGAUUCAGGGGAUUCUGGAGUUUGGAAUGAAGUCACGCCAAAGGAAGAACAGGGAAGAGAAUAUACAAGAUCCCCCCAACAGGGCUGGAAGCUUGGGGAGGAAGGAGCCCUGAGCAAAUGGGGCCUUUUACUUGUACAUUCUAAGUUUGCAUAUUGGGGUUAGUGCUUUUUUAACUCAAGGCUCUUAAAGAUUUCCCGGGGUUUGACUAUUGGUUAAUAAUUGCUAGCCUUCAGUUAACAAAGCUCCGAACAUAAGUUAAUCCUGACCACAGCCCUGUGAAAAGGUGCUGUAAUGACCCCCAUUUUGUAGGGGGCAGCAGGGAACUAGCGAGAUGCACAAAAUUGGACAGCUAGUGUUGGAGGCAAGACUUGAACUCGGGUCUAGCAUCCUAGCUGCUUUGGUGAGAAUAUUUCUAUUCAAACAAAUAAAUGGUGAAGAAGGAGUUGGGCA